AUAUUUUAGGAAAAAACUAAAAUUAAUUUUUUUAUAAUGUAAAGAAUAACAAUUUCAAUAUAGACUGUCUAAUUCCUGUGUAUUGUAUCAUUAAAAUAAUAAUAACCAUGUACCCUGAGUUCUUUAUUGUUGUAAUCGCGUUUAGAUCUGAUAAAAACUCAUUGAACUUCAUAAGAAUGCAAAAAAAACCCAACCUCUCGCAGAAACAAUGGUGGAUCGCAUUGUGCAGUGUUAAGGACAACACGACACCUAACAAUAGAGUGUGUUUUUUUUUUAAUCGCUUGCACAUAAUGGUGACUUGAUUAUAAAAUUGUAUUGUACAGAUAAUUGGUGUAUUUAUUUAUUUACAUAUCGACACUACUAGGCCCAUGGUCUUAUCUUUUGAAUUGAUUGGAUAAACAUUAAGUUGAUUGAUAUAAUCCAGAACUUAAAACCUGCCACUUUGCUUCUAUCGUUUAUAACUAGCCGAAUGUGACGAAAAUAAAUACUGUCACGAAACCCCAAUUUUAAUUAAGAUUACUCGUUGUUAAGGAUUAAUUUUUUUCGACAAUUUAUAAAAAUUUUUAUUGAAAUAUGGUUUUUGGUCGGUAUUGAACAAUUAUCGCCUUAAUUCUCUUAAGACAAGUUCUUUUAUUCUAUUGAAUGCGAUAGUGUAGUAGGUCUAUUGUUGAAACUGAAAUCCCAAUCAAUCAUCUCCCUACUUCCUUUUCUGAGGCCACCCAUUUUCUAAGCAGGUAUUUUUAUUCCGAGAUGACGGAAGUAAAGUUCCAGUACCCAAUGGUGGCUAAUUUUACUUCACUCGCACUAUUUACCUGAUUUUCUGUGACCUGAUCUAGCAGGUAUUUUUUACCUAUCAUCUCGUAAAGACCUAUCUGACCAUUCAUUGAAAGGGAUACGCUGUUUAAAACUUAUUGUUUGCUUGUGCGUAUGCUAAACAGCUCAUUCGAAAAAAAGAAAUUAAUUGAGCGAAUCUUAAUGGCCCAUAAAUUUAAAACGAUCUGUUACCUGCAUUUUUAUUAAGUUUAUCUUACAAAACCACCAAAAAGUAACACUGUUUUUUCAGAAGUACAUUUUUCGAAUGAGAAGUAGGAAGAAAAUCUAUUGAAACUAUUCGCUUUUUCUUUUUUAAUCGUUUUGAUCACUUAACUGUCAUUGAAUACACUUCGUGUAGUUUCGGAGUUGGUAACAAUCAAUCGUUCGUCAGAACAACUUCUCAACCAGUUGUUGCUAAAGUAGACUAAACCAGUUAGCGAGAGCACUAAAGAGGAGGCACGCCAAAACUGUUGAAGAUUUCAAUUUUCUCUUGUACUCCACCCAACAUAAGUUCGGUCAUAUUGCUUAGAUGCCCAAAGUUAAGUCAGGAAGAAUAUGACGAAGGGGCACGAACCGAGAUCCGGGUACUUUCUGUAUAUAAUUUUUCAUACUUCCGCUAUCGCUCUAAAUUUUCUAUUAGAUAAUGUCACUGACCUAUCGGCGCAACUUGCAGGCCUACAUUAGUAUUAGUAUAAAGUACAAAGGCGGGAAUUUUAUACGUGAAACGAAUAGACUAACGGCAAUAAAACGUAUUAAAGAAAAACACGUUCUUUUUCUCUUUUAUUGAUGUAGAACUUUUUUACUUUCGCUGGUCUUAUUAUUAUUUUUUAUUAAAAUUUAUUUUCCGUUACCGUUGACGUUAAAAGAUGCGUUUAUACGUUAAUCGUUCCGUAGAGAAACGUAUAGAAACAUAUUUAAGGAACUGUCCACACGUGCAUGCGACCCAAUCAAGCCCGCAGGAUACUCUUGCCCGAAUCAACCUCAGGAACAGGCUUUGAAAAAAAACAAGCCACCAACCAACUGGGUUCUCAACUACGAAAGAGUGUCAGUUUUUCCAUCUGCGCUUUCGCACUUCCUUCUGUCAAUACGUUGACGACAGUUCCAACGUUGCUAGCAAAUGUACACAGGGUGAGAUGGGGGAGGCAGUAAAAGUGAUCUGUUUGCAACUCAAGGACGCUCGAGAUCGGAGUACAUAUCUACACGACUUUCAUUUCGUUUCAGGUAAGACGAAUUUAAUCCUCUUAUGUAGCGAAGGGUAGUUUAAACAUGUGUAAACGUCAUUUGAUUGUCCGACGCCGAAUGGCCCGGUCUUUCACACGCAGAAUUUAUAUCGAGAUUUAAUAUAAAAAAAGCAUAAAAAUACCGUAUUAUAGUCGUUAGCUAUACUUCUACAGUGCUAAAUUUAAUUCCGUAAUUUUAUGUUUCCAUUUAUUAUCACGCAUUCUUCAAUCGAACAGAAAAAUAAAGUUUUUGUCUCUUGUUUACUCUUCGC
RNAcentral lists this long non-coding RNA (2305 nucleotides) under Androctonus crassicauda. The record is from RNAcentral. Lineage: Eukaryota; Metazoa; Arthropoda; Arachnida; Scorpiones; Buthidae.